RNAcentral lists this ribosomal RNA (2904 nucleotides) under Clostridium perfringens. RNAcentral describes it as "23S ribosomal RNA". It matches the Rfam family "Bacterial large subunit ribosomal RNA". Lineage: Bacteria; Bacillati; Bacillota; Clostridia; Eubacteriales; Clostridiaceae. The record is from RNAcentral. RNAcentral also lists the same sequence under 1 other name.
GGUCAAGCUACAAAGGGCACAUGGUGAAUGCCUUGGCAUCAGGAGCCGAUGAAGGACGUGAUAAGCUGCGAUAAGCUUCGGGUAGGCGCACAUAGCCUGAGAUCCGAAGAUCUCCGAAUGAGGAAACUCACAUGGGAAACCCCAUGUAUCAUUAAGUGAAUACAUAGCUUAAUGAAGGUAACCCAGGGAACUGAAACAUCUAAGUACCUGGAGGAAGAGAAAGAAAAAUCGAUUUUCUUAGUAGCGGCGAGCGAAAGGGAAAGAGCCCAAACCGGAAACUUGUUUCCGGGGUUGAGGACAGAACAUAACGAUUGGUAGGACGUAAUCGAAGAGAACUGGAAAGUUCCACCGUAGAAGGUAAUAGUCCUGUAGAUGAAACGGGAAAUCAAUCAGUUCUGAUCCAGAGUACCACGAGACACGUGAAACCUUGUGGGAAGCAGGGAGGACCACCUCCCAAGGCUAAAUACUACCUGAUGACCGAUAGUGAAGCAGUACCGUGAGGGAAAGGUGAAAAGAACCCCGGGAGGGGAGUGAAAUAGAACCUGAAACCGUGUGCCUACAACCGCUCAGAGCCCCUUAUGAGGGUGAUGAGGUGCUUUUUGUAGAACGAGCCAACGAGUUACGGUAUGUAGCAAGGUUAAGUACUUAAGGUACGGAGCCGAAGGGAAACCGAGUCUGAAUAGGGCGACUAGUUGCAUGCCGUAGACCCGAAACCGGGUGACCUAUCCAUGGCCAGGUUGAAGCGAGGGUAAAACCUCGUGGAGGACCGAACCACGUUGCUGUUGAAAAAGCAUGGGAUGAGCUGUGGAUAGCGGAGAAAUUCCAAUCGAACCCGGAGAUAGCUGGUUCUCUCCGAAAUAGCUUUAGGGCUAGCGUCGAGUAUGAGUAGUGGAGGUAGAGCACUGAAUGGGCUAGGGGGCAUAGCGCUUACCGAACCUUAUCAAACUCCGAAUGCCACAUACUUCGAGCUCGGCAGUCAGACUACGAAUGAUAAGAUCCGUGGUCAAAAGGGAAACAGCCCAGAUCGUCAGCUAAGGUCCCAAAGUGUAAGUUAAGUGGGAAAGGAUGUGAGAUUUCUAAGACAACUAGGAUGUUGGCUUAGAAGCAGCCAUUCAUUAAAAGAGUGCGUAAUAGCUCACUAGUCGAGAGAUCUUGCGCCGAAAAUGUAACGGGGCUAAACUUACCACCGAAGCUACGGGCUUGAACUUAGUUCAAGCGGUAGGAGAGCGUCGUAACCGGGCUGAAGUCGUACCGUAAGGAGCGGUGGACUGGUUACGAGUGAGAAUGUUGGCAUCAGUAGCGAGAUGUGGGUGAGAAUCCCACAGGCCGAAAACCUAAGGUUUCCUCAGGAAGGUUCGUCCGCUGAGGGUUAGUCGGGACCUAAGCCGAGGCCGAAAGGCGUAGGUGAUGGACAACUGGUUGAUAUUCCAGUACCACUACCAUCGUUAUUAUCGAUGGCGUGACGCAGGAGGAUAGUGUGUGCUAGCUAUUGGAUGCUAGUCUAAGCGUUUAGGCAGUGAGAGUAGGCAAAUCCGCUCUCAUAAUGCUGAGGCGUGAUGGGGAAGGUUCUACGGAACCGAAGUACAUGAUUCCACGCUGCCAAGAAAAGCGUCUAGAGAGAGAAGUAGUGCCCGUACCGCAAACCGACACAGGUAGGUGAGGAGAGAAUCCUAAGGCCGGCGGAAGAAUUACAGUUAAGGAACUCGGCAAAUUGACCCCGUAAGUUCGCGAGAAGGGGUGCCUACGAGAGUAGGCCGCAGAGAAUAGGCCCAAGCAACUGUUUAGCAAAAACACAGGUCUCUGCUAAAGCGUAAGCUGAUGUAUAGGGGCUGACGCCUGCCCGGUGCUGGAAGGUUAAGGGGAACACUUAGUGCAAGCGAAGGUGUGAACUUAAGCCCCAGUAAACGGCGGCCGUAACUAUAACGGUCCUAAGGUAGCGAAAUUCCUUGUCAGGUAAGUUCUGACCCGCACGAAUGGCGUAAUGACUUGGGCACUGUCUCAACUGUAAAUCCGGCGAAGUUGUAGUGCGAGUGAAGAUGCUCGCUACCCGCGAUUGGACGGAAAGACCCCGUAGAGCUUUACUGUAGCUUAGCAUUGAGUUUUGGUAUUGUCUGUACAGGAUAGGUGGGAGACUAGGAAACCAGGGCGUCAGCCUUGGUGGAGUCAACCUUGGGAUACCACCCUGACAGUACUGAAAUUCUAACUGGCGGCCAUGAAUCUGGUCACAGGACAUUGUUAGGUGGGCAGUUUGACUGGGGCGGUCGCCUCCUAAAAAGUAACGGAGGCGCCCAAAGGUUCCCUCAGAACGGUCGGAAAUCGUUCGAAGAGUGCAAAGGCAGAAGGGAGCCUGACUGCGACACCCACAAGUGGAGCAGGGACGAAAGUCGGGCUUAGUGAUCCGGUGGUACCUCGUGGGAGGGCCAUCGCUCAACGGAUAAAAGCUACCUCGGGGAUAACAGGCUGAUCUCCCCCAAGAGUCCACAUCGACGGGGAGGUUUGGCACCUCGAUGUCGGCUCGUCGCAUCCUGGGGCUGAAGUAGGUCCCAAGGGUUGGGCUGUUCGCCCAUUAAAGCGGCACGCGAGCUGGGUUCAGAACGUCGUGAGACAGUUCGGUCCCUAUCCGUCGCGGGCGUAGGAAAUUUGAGAGGAGCUGUCCUUAGUACGAGAGGACCGGGAUGGACUGACCUCUGGUGUACCAGUUGUUCCGCCAGGAGCACAGCUGGGUAGCUAAGUCGGGAAUGGAUAAACGCUGAAAGCAUCUAAGCGUGAAGCCAACCUCAAGAUGAGAUUUCCCAUAGCGUAAGCUAGUAAGAUCCCUUGAAGAACACAAGGUUGAUAGGUCGGGGGUGUAAGCAUGGUAACAUGUUCAGCUGACCGAUACUAAUAGAUCGAGGGCUUGACCAA